Molecule: ribosomal RNA, 418 nt
Filed under: Wickerhamiella pararugosa
Lineage: Eukaryota; Fungi; Ascomycota; Dipodascomycetes; Dipodascales; Trichomonascaceae
Description: eukaryotic LSU rRNA
Rfam family: 5.8S ribosomal RNA (bases 118-259)
Source: RNAcentral
CUUCCGUAGGGUGAACCUGCGGAAGGAUCAUUAUAGAUUUAUUGAUACUUUGUGAAUGAAUUAUAAGCUUUAUGCGAAAUACUUUUUAUUAAUUUUAGUCUAAAAAAACGAAAUCAAAACCUUUAACAAUGGAUCUCUUGGUUCUCGUAUCGAUGAAGAACGCAGCAAAGCGCGAUAGAUAAUGUGAAUUGCAGACGUGAAUCAUUGAGUUUUUGAACGCACAUUGCACCUCUUUGGAGGUAUACUUGUGUGAGCGUCAUUUUUUCUCCACAUAUAUAUUAGUGGGUAAUGGUUCACUAUAUGGACUGAAAAAGAUUAUACACAGUUGUUAGACACAAGCUGUGGAAAAUUAUCAAAUUUUGACCUCAUAUCAAGUAAGAUCACCCGCUGAACUUAAGCAUAUCAAUAAGCGGAGGAA